RNAcentral lists this transfer RNA (76 nucleotides) under Marmota monax (woodchuck). RNAcentral describes it as "tRNA.Ala". The stretch from base 12 to 69 matches the Rfam family "tRNA", at positions 8 to 63 of the family's 71-position model. Rfam says of the family: Transfer RNA (tRNA) molecules are approximately 80 nucleotides in length. Their secondary structure includes four short double-helical elements and three loops (D, anti-codon, and T loops). Lineage: Eukaryota; Metazoa; Chordata; Mammalia; Rodentia; Sciuridae. The record is from RNAcentral.
GUCUGGGGGCUUAGCUGAGUGGUAGAAGUACCUACUUGGCAUGUAUGAGGCCCUGGGUUCAAUCCCCAGCUCGACA